Long non-coding RNA from Dermochelys coriacea (leatherback sea turtle), 161 nucleotides. RefSeq lists it as uncharacterized. The record is from RefSeq and is a predicted model, not a curated record. The transcript is spliced from 3 exons. Lineage: Eukaryota; Metazoa; Chordata; Testudines; Dermochelyidae.
CCAUUCUAUGUAUCCGAUGAAGUGGUCUGUAGCCCACGAAAGCUUAUGCUCUAAUAAAUUUGUUAGUCUCUAAGGUGCCACAAGUUCUCCUGUUCUUUUUGCGGAUACAGACUAACGUAGCUGUUACUCCGAAACAUGUAGUUUGGUCUAAUAUAUUAAUC